Molecule: ribosomal RNA, 497 nt
Filed under: uncultured bacterium
Lineage: Bacteria
Description: partial 16S ribosomal RNA
Rfam family: Bacterial small subunit ribosomal RNA
Source: RNAcentral
GAUGAACGCUGGCGGCGUGCCUAAUACAUGCAAGUCGAGCGAACAGAUGAGGAGCUUGCUCCUCUGUCGUUAGCGGCGCACGGGUGAGUCACACGUGGAUAACCUACCUAUCAGUCUGGUAUAACUUCGGGAAACCGGAUCUAAUACCGGAUAAUAUAUUGAACCACAUGGUUCAAUAGUGAAAGACGGCUUUGCUGUCUCUUAUAGAUGGAUCUGCGCCGUAUUAGCUAGUUGUUAAGGUAACGGCUUACCAAGGCGACGAUGCGUAGCCGACCUGAGAGGGUGAUCGGCCACACUGGAACUGAGACACGGUCCAGACGCCUACGGGAGGCAGCAGUAGGGAAUCUGCCGCAAUGGGCGAAAGCAUGACGGAGCAACGCCGCGUGAGUGAUGAAGGUCUUCGGAGCGGAAAGCUCUGUUAUUAGGGAAGAACAAAUGUGGAAGUAACUAUGCACGUCUUGACGGUACCUAAUCAGAAAGCCACGGCUAACUACGUG